This is a long non-coding RNA of Nerophis ophidion (straightnose pipefish), 1318 nucleotides long. RefSeq lists it as uncharacterized. The transcript has 3 exons. The record is from RefSeq and is a predicted model, not a curated record. NCBI's taxonomy places the organism in Eukaryota, Metazoa, Chordata, Actinopteri, Syngnathiformes, Syngnathidae.
GCCGACCCCCGCCGCCAUUACAUGACUGCAGGCCCCAAGUUGGUCGUCAACAGCCCGGGCCCGCGGUACAAGAAGCAUUGGAAGCACUUUAGACCUGCGUUUCCCAGCGUAAGGCCGACAUUCCGGCCAGCUAACGUGGCUAGCUGGCCGGGCCCCGACAUUUAAGUCUCCCGGGAUCAACAACAACACCUUUGGCUCAACUCGGCUCUCCUAUUUGUGUAAUUAUUGUUGCAUCCAGAGCGGAGAUGCUGCUAGAAAACACGGGCCUGCCUAGUGACGCCAACACUGUUAGGCAGCGAGUACGCGGGUCAACAUGCCGACGCCGCGGUCGUUGAGGAUGGUGAGUUUCUCCGCCAGCUUCUGCUGACUGGGCUGCAUCACACCUCGAGACAUCUUGCAGCUCCCACCAGAUCCCUCAAUUCAGGCAAGAUCGGCGGCAGAAAACCACAAGAAGUCCACAGCCUCGUCUCGGUUGUUGUGUUCUUUGUAAGAAUUAGAUGUGCUGCAUGAUCAUCUUCCUGCACGGCACACGCCUUCUUUCUCCCCUUUUUUUCCUGCCGGGAUGAGGGAGUCCUCGUUUUUAGUGACGGUGCGUUCAAUGCACCUCGUACAACUGCCUUCUCAGUAAGUGCAUUAGCGCUUUAAACAUGAUCGAUUGAUUGCAGCUUUUAUUAGUAGAUUGCACAGUACAGUACAUAUUCCCUACAAUUGACCACUAAAUGGUAACACCCCAAUAAGUUUUUCAACUUGUUUAAGUCGGGGUCCACGUUAAUCAAUUCAUUGUGUGGCUAGAAUUUCAUUUGGUCUCUUUUAGACGAAUAUAAACCUCUGUUGAGUAUAGGCACAUGGCCGCCUGUAGUGACAUUAGUGCUAUUCCUAUUGUUGGUAAUAGUAUUAUUAUUAAAUGCUGUGGUUAGAACUUCAUUUUGUCUCUUUUAGACCAAUAAACCUCUGUUGAGUUGAGGCACAUGGUGACAUCCAUCCAUCCAUCUUCUUCCGCUUAUUUGAAGUCGGGUCGCGGGGGCAGCAGCCUAAGCAGGGAAGCCCAGACUUUCCUCUCCCCAGCCACUUGGUCCAUCUCUUCCCAGGGGAUCCCGAGGCGUUCCCAGGCCAGCCGGGAGACAUAGUCUUCCCAACGUGUCCUGGGUCUUCCCCGUGGCCUCCUACUGGUCGUAUGUGCCCUCCCUAGGGAGGUGUUUGGAUGGCAUCCUGACCGGAUGCCCGGACUACCUGGAGGAGCAGCGGUUUUAUUAUUCAAUUAUGUGGCUGGAACUUCAUUUUGUCUGUUUUCGACAAAUAUAAACCUCUGUUGAGUUGA